Molecule: long non-coding RNA, 633 nt
Filed under: Homo sapiens (human)
Lineage: Eukaryota; Metazoa; Chordata; Mammalia; Primates; Hominidae
Description: HSALNT0150265
Source: RNAcentral
AUGGCUCUGUCCUGUUUACUGGUUGUGCAAGUAUAAUUUGGGAAGCCAGAAUUCACAGGAGAAACUUCAAACCUUCUACCUAUGGGAAAUUAACAGAACCAGAAUUUCUGUAAGAAGUCGGAGAUAAAAUACAGGCAUGUGAGGCCUGGAGGAUUUCACUCAGAGGAAAAUUGCUCCCUUUUUUACCUUCUGCAUUUCCAUAGAGGAAGGCUGUGAACUGGUCAGUUGUAGACUGGCCAAGAACCUCAAGUUGUGCUGGAUCUGCAUGUAAAUUUGCUUUUAGCAGCAUGAAACUCAAGCAAUUUGACAAAUGAAUAGGAAACCCAACCACAGGGAAAAGGAAGUUCAGCCGAACGGUUGAAAGAACCGUUCUUAAAGGCUUCAAGAAACUUUAAGAGUGUGAGCCCAGUCUAUGGAAUUUUUAAACAUCUUUAAGACAAUUAGAUACUAACUGAACGUGCCAAUUUCUGUUAAUAUUACAGGAAACAUAUUGGUAGGAUGCUAGGUCACUACUGAAAACGUAACGUUAUCCUAAAAAUAAUUUAGAUUCUGGAUCAACUGAUUCAUGUGCCAUAACCAUGACAACAUUGUUCCAGCUGCUGUUUUUUCGCACGCAUAGUACUCUGCCUCCAU